RNAcentral lists this non-coding RNA (21 nucleotides) under Arabidopsis thaliana (thale cress). Lineage: Eukaryota; Viridiplantae; Streptophyta; Magnoliopsida; Brassicales; Brassicaceae. The record is from RNAcentral.
CAUUAGUGUGAUGAUGUGUCA